Molecule: ribosomal RNA, 253 nt
Filed under: uncultured bacterium
Lineage: Bacteria
Description: partial 16S ribosomal RNA
Rfam family: Bacterial small subunit ribosomal RNA
Source: RNAcentral
UACAUGGGGUGCAAACGUUGCUCGGAAUCAUUGGGCGUAAAGCGCGCGUAGGCGGUUGCUUAAGUCGGAUGUGAAAGCCCUCGGCUUAACUGAGGAAGUGCAUCCGAAACUGAGCAGCUAGAGUACGAAAGAGGGUCGCGGAAUUCCCGGUGUAGAGGUGAAAUUCGUAGAUAUACGGAGGAAUACCGGUGGCGAAGGCGGCCUCCUGGACCAUUUCUGACACUGAGACGCGAAAGCGUGGGGAGCAAACAGG